UGCCUACGGGAGGCAGCAGUAGGGAAUCUUCCACAAUGGGCGAAAGCCUGAUGGAGCAACGCCGCGUGGGUGAAGAAGGUCUUCGGAUCGUAAAACCCUGUUGUUAGAGAAGAAAGUGCGUGAGAGUAACUGUUCACGUUUCGACGGUAUCUAACCAGAAAGCCACGGCUAACUACGUGCCAGCAGCCGCGGUAAUACGUAGGGAGCGAGCGUUGUCCGGAAUUACUGGGCGUAAAGGGCGCGUAGGCGGGAACUUAAGUUAGAUGUGAAAACUCCGGGCUCAACCUG
Molecule: ribosomal RNA, 288 nt
Filed under: uncultured bacterium
Lineage: Bacteria
Description: partial 16S ribosomal RNA
Rfam family: Bacterial small subunit ribosomal RNA
Source: RNAcentral